GACAUCCCUAUUUUCAUCGGAGAAAUGUUGGAGGGUAUGGAGUUCUGCGACCCCUGAGUCAAGGAGAUAAGUAAGUAUACAACCUUUCGAAGACAUCUGAAGGCAGCCCUGUAUGUUUUUAUAUAUGUUGGAAGCCAUCCAGAGCGGCUGAGGCAACCCAGUCAGGUGGGCAGGGUAUUAUUAUUAUUAUUAUUAUUAUUAUUAUUAAAUAACAGUUCCCUAUUUUCAUUGGAGAAAUGUUGGAGGGUAUGAGAUAGAGAAAAAAGUUAUUUCCUUAUCGCAUAAUACUAGAAACUGGGGUCGUACGGUGAAGCCAGAUGUUGAAAGAUUUGGAGCAGGAAAAAAAGGAAGCAUUUUUUCCUGCAUGGCUACCAAGAUGGAUGUCUUCAGGUGGGGAGGGGUGUUAAUUUGUCUAAUUAAUUUGUCUAAUUAAUGGAGGUUAAUUAUCAGUACUAGCUUACUAGCUACUAGACACAAUGGCUGUGUUCUACCUCCAUAGAGUCCUCCCCACCCUUGCAAGCCUGGCCUCAUGAGGAAGCUAGCCAGACUUAUUUCCAGCUCUUGCUGAAUUCAUGAGUUUAUGAGUUUGCUCAAAUUCUACUCCUUCACUUUAUGUGGAGAUUAUAGGGGUCUCCCACCCCUGCCCCCAAACUGGGCUCCUUCCUGAGAUAGUUGGGUAUCCUCACUGUUAAUUUUAUGCAUUUAGGAUAACCUUCCAGGAGUGUCAAGAAUCCAUCAUCCAUAUUUGGAUGCAAGCACAUUCAUUUCCACUGGGUAGAAGGCAGCUUUAUGCCUUGACAUGCAAUUAAAAGCAUUCCAUGGAACAAAACGAUAAAGUGUAGAAGAAUAUGAAAUACAUGUAAAAGAUCAGUUGUUAAUAUCCGAGUUGACAGAAGAGACAUUAAUCUAGUGUUUCCCUCACAGAUUUUGGAAAUCGCUCAGUACAACAAACGUAAUGUUCAUUUUCUGUUUAUCAUAUAAAUGCCAUAUGAUUCAUCAGCCUUCUAUUCCUAGAGGCAGAGCUCUUGAUGCGCCGUGAGGUGUUUCUGGAGCAAUUACAACCGUAGGUUAGCAAUCAGCCCACAUUUGCCUCCGACACAAAAGUAUGGCUCGUGUGAAGAACUCCCCAAGUAGACUUUGACAUAAACACAGAUGUAGAUUCCAAAAAUAAGAAGACCAGAACAUCUAACUCAUUCUUAUUUUACUUUGGUAAAAUAAUUUAGCAAACUGAAAUCUCAAUUCAUGACAAGCUGGAGACACUUCCAAAAUAUAGCUACUGAGGUCAUUCACUGCGUGAACUGAACUUUUUUUAAAAAAAAUAUCUUAUUGGUGACUGUAAGCCAGCACAAUGCCACCUAGAUGUUAUGAAGUACCACCUCCAUCAUCCAUUGGCCGUGCUGGUUGGGGUUGAUGGGAGUCCAACAAUGUCUAGAAGCCACCAUGUUGGACACCUGCUGUAGGCUUAGGUGGGCCAAUUAAGAUAUCAAAUAUUUCAAAACUGCUUUUGAUUAUGCGGUUUUCCCAUUCAAACAGAACUCUCAUUCUGCAAUGUUACAGAGACAUUACAUCGGUGAAAAGGUGCACCUGUUGUCUGCAAACAGCUCAUUUUAAACACAAACAAAUGUUGGAUCUGUGCUUUCAAUCCAGCCGUGGCAGGUAUGGGAACCUUUGCCCCUUCAGUUGUUGCUGAACUACAACUCCCAUCAUCCUCGGCCAUUAGCUAAGCUAUGCUUGUGGGGGCUGAUGGGAAUUGUAGUUCGGCAGCCUCUGGAGGUCCAAAGGUUUCCCCCAGCUGCCUUAUGGCAAUGAAUUUCAUAGUUUAACUAUGUUGGAAGAUGUAAAAAGUCCAACAUACUUUUUCUUCUGAAGUGGGGGUUCUUAGCCAGCCAGCCUACUGAAACUUUGAAGGGAAAAAUCUUUAAACUCCAUUAAAUAAUACAGUUUCAUAGCAGGGAUUUCUCUUGGGAAGGGCAGUCUUCUGUUCAACUGCCACGUUAUGACAAGCAUGACAGAGCUGAUAGCAAUCUAUUCCAAUUCAUGACAUUGUUUAAAUUAGGUCAGAUGGAGAAUAUGUGCAGGCCUUCCAAGAAGAACUCCCAGGAGUCUGAGCACUUUUGCUAAUGGCAGUGAAUCAGGAUUUCUUUCCAGCCUCAUCUAAGGAGUCAUAAACUGUGUUAACAUGUCAUGUUACGUAUGUAACACAUUGCUCAGCAGCAAGAAAACCAGCGUCUUCUUCUUCUUUGCAUGUAUUAUACAGCCCAGACGGGCAAUUGGAAUGCAUAUCUUUCUCCUUGGAGUGAAUCACUUGACUGACCCUAGAGCUUUAAAAGCUAAGUGACUUAUUUCUGUUUCCCCAGUCUUAUUAUUCAAAGGAGAAUGCAUGUGGCCUUUUCAGAGCCUUGUUUAUUUGCAAAACACAAAAUGAAUUACCUUGUGCUUUAAAUUGGAGAAAUGAGGACCUUUAUCCAACAAGGACCUCCCCCCCUCUCCCAACAAUGUAAUUAUCUAAAAAGGCCCCUGUGAAUGGAUUCCGGAGCUGUAAGGAUGAGUUAGUCUAAUAUAAUGAAAACAGGAAAGAAUAUGUUUGGCACCAGAGCAGUGUUCCUAACACUGAGGUAUUAAAGAAAGGAGAAGCAUGGUGAGAUACUACAUGAAUCAGCGGGAUCUAGUAAGCAUUUGAUAAGCCCCUGUGUGUAGCCACUACAAGGAAGAUGCAUUUCUUAAUCAUCUUCUACAUGGCUUCAGUAACGGGCAGUUCUAAGCCAUAUUAAUUUACAGAUUAGUACCAGAACCCAGUGAAGCAAUCUGCAUUUACAGGUGAAGAAGCAAGGAGACAUGCAGAGUUUGGGAUAAUGCUUUUACUUCAGGAAAAUGCAUGGACAAAGAGAGAAAUUGCUUUGCGAGCUGGACCUUUUCUCUCUUCAUCACUAGGAAUUCCUACACUAUUAUUAUUAUUAUUAUUAUUAUUAUUAUUAUUACUUGAAUUUAUGUACCGCCCUAUACCUGGAGGUCUCAGGUUCACAGAACAACUAGCAGCCGCCACCCCUGUGUGUGUGUGUGUGUGUGCGUGUUCCAGCAAGUAGCACUAUCUAAUGUUGGUUUGCUGAAGUGUGAGCAGUGCUUCCUUUUAAGGGAAGAAACAUAACUCUAUGGUACAUCACAUGUUUUUUGUCCAUAAAGUCUCUUGUUCAAUCCCUGACAUCUCCAGAUAGGCCUCAAAAAGACUCCUGUCUGAAACUGCAGAGUUGGCAUAUACCAAUAUUUCCCAAACUUGGUUCUCCAGUCGUUUUUGGACUUCAAUUCCCAUCAUCCCUGGCCACUGGUCCUGCUAGCUAGGAAUACUGAGAGUUGUAGUCCAAAGACCUUGGAUUGAUUCAGCAGAAACACCAGAGUGUGAGGAGAUGCUGCGAACUUAUAGAGGGGAAUCAUAGACAUAAAAUCCACACACAAACACAUCAUUGCUUGUUUUAACUCGCUUGUGGGAACAACUCAGAGACUGUGAAAGGUUAACAGCAGAGGAACCAUCGGAAGUGACUAUGAAAAGCAGUAGAAGUAUGAGAUGAUCAGAACCCUCCAAACCUGAAGCAUGGAAAGUCCUAUUUAAAAAAUUAUAGUUUGGCAGAAUAUUCGGAUUAUUUGAUAUGUAUAUGUAUAAUUUGGAAUAUUUAAUGUGAUUUGAUUGGAUUGUUCAAGUGGAAAAUUUAAUAAAAAUUAUUUUUUUAAAAAAGAGAGAGAGAGAGUUGUAGUCCAAAAACAGCUGGAGACCCAAGUUUGGGAAACCCUAGCGUAGACCAUGGAUAAGGAACCUGUGGCCUUCCAGAUGUUGCUGGACUGCUUCUAUCAUGCCUGACCAUUGGCCAUGGUCUGCAGAGGAUGAUGGGAAUGGUAGUCCAACAGGCUCCCCAUCCCUGGGGCAGGCAAUACAGAGUGUAAUGGAGCAAUGGUCUUUCUCAGCAUAAGGCAGUUCCUUCUGUUCCUGCUUCUUCCUUUUGAUGGGGAAAACAAAGCAUGCACAUGUGUACUACUUUGCUAGAUCUUGGCCUAGGAAUACGAAAUUGUAGCAUGAUGGAUUUAGUAGAACAUAGCAUAUGAUGAUGGUGUGUCUUAAUAAGUCACCAUUAGAAUAAGGGCUAGUAUAACCAAUAUUUCUGUGAUGCACGCUUUGUCCCACACCCAAGAUUGGGAACAUGGUUGCAAAUGCUAACUGCAAACUACACGGGGCUAUUGCAGUCUUUCUAAUAAUAAGGGUGCUUUCUUUUCUUUCUCAGCAAUAGUAAUAAAAAGUCCAGGAGCAGGAGAUUGCAUCGUCCCAGAGGAAACAGCCACCGAUUUUGUUCUGCCCUAUUUUGUGAAAUCUUCUUGCUUAAGGCUGUUGUUGUGCCGGCUCAUUGCGAAGAGAAUUACACCUUCUCUUUGCCAACCGUAAAAGAGAAAGGAAAAGCAGGGCUUCUCGACGUGGGCAGGAAAGGAAGAAAAAUGUCCCCCUACGACACCUGGGG
This 4499-nucleotide long non-coding RNA is filed under the name Podarcis lilfordi (Lilford's wall lizard). The record is from RNAcentral. Lineage: Eukaryota; Metazoa; Chordata; Lepidosauria; Squamata; Lacertidae.